Homo sapiens (human) is the source of this 2808-nucleotide long non-coding RNA. Lineage: Eukaryota; Metazoa; Chordata; Mammalia; Primates; Hominidae. The record is from Ensembl.
ACUCCGGGGUUCUGGUGUAGGUAGAUCCGGGGCAGGCUCAGGACCAAGUCCCUCUCCUUCCACCAAGGAGCGCCCAGAGGCCGGCGGGAGCUCCAGGUUCACCUCCUCCUCCUCCAGGAAAUCCCACUUCCAACUGGAUGUCUGGAUGAACUACUGAAAGCUGCUGAGUGUCCUGCAGCAGAGCCAAGAGCUGGUUAGAGCUGCAAGGACACCGCCUGCACAGGAUGCCCGGGGCUGGGCAUUACCUGCUGCAAUGACAACAUCUGGCUGGAUGGCAGAGAGCUGACAGACCGUCGCGACGUCCCAGUCCAGCUGGGCCACUGUCACCCUGGGGCUGUCUAAGUUGGCAGUGAUAUCUGCACCUAAUGAGAGGCCAUUGAGAAGGACAUUCCCUCAGAGCUGCUAGAGGACCCAGCUGUGACAGUCCCUGAAGAUGUAUGCCCGGGGGUGGCACAUCUUGCAGAUGGCCAGGCCUGUGAGGCCAGCACCACUGCCAAGCUCUAGGACAGUCCUGGUGGGAGGAAAGGGGGUCAUGUCUGCGACUGCACCAGGGUAAGCCUGCCUCGGUGCCCUGCCCUGUGCCCUGAGGUCACCUAUCAGUGAAGGCUGCUGGGUUCUCGAUGGCCCAUUCUGCAAGGUAGAGGGCGGCAUCCCAUGUGACCAGGACUGUGAUGCCGUGGGAGAUGAUGGCUGUGCUCUUGGAGAGUGUGACUGAGCCUCCCGAGGGCAGCACCAAGAGAAGGCGAGAGAGUCAGUCCAGCGAUCAGAAGGCAAGUGGCUUAGAAGACAAGCAGCCAUCCACCACAUGGCUGAAUAAACCAUGACAGGACAAAUCGCCACUCAGCAAUGAGAAGCAGCUAACUGUUGACAUGCCAACAGCUUGCACAGGCCUCAAGGGUGUCACGUGGCAUGAAAGACACUCAUCUCAGGCCACACAGGAUUCCAUUCAUUGAACAUUCCUGAGACAAUGGAAUUCUGGCGAUGGAGCACAGGUCAGUUGUGGCCAGGGGCCGGGUGUGGCUAUGAAGGGGUGGCUGCCUUGUGAUGAUUCAAUAUGCUAUGUUUUUCCUUUGUGGUUUUCUGUAUCUAUGUUUUAUCUUAUUUUUUUUGAGCUCUGUUCCCCAGGCUGGAGUCAGUGGCACAAUCUUGGCUCACUGCAACCUCUGCCUCCUGGGUUCAAGCAAUUCUCCUGCCUCAGCUGCCCAAGUAGGUGCGACUACAGGCAUGUGUCACCAUGUCUGGCUAAUUUUUCUACUUCUUUUUGACAGUUUCACUCUCGUUGCCCAGGUGGGAGUGCAAUAGCGCGAUCUUGGCUCACUACAACCUCCACCUCCUGGGUUCAAGAGAUUCUCCUGCCUCAUCCUCCUGAGUAGCUGGGAUUACAGGCGCCCACUACCACACCAAGCUAAUUUUUGUAUUUUUAGUAAAGGCAGAGUUUCACCAUGUUGGCCAGGCUGGUCUCAAACUCCUGAUCUCAGGUGAUCCACCCGCCUCAGCCUCCCAAAGUGCUGGGAUUACAGGCAUGAGCCACCACGCCCGGCCUAAUUUUUGUAUUUUUAGUAGAGACAGGGUUUCACCAUAUUGGCCAGGCUGGUCUUGAACUCCUGACCUCGGAUCCACCCGCCUCAGCCUCCCAAAGUGCUGGGAUUACAGGUGUGAGCCACCACACCCGGACCUGUCAACUAUUCUUUGAGGACUGGGCACCAGGUCCUUGUGAAGCAGGUAGAGUGUGUCACCUAUUGGACAAAUGCCUCACAACCCUAUAAGACAUGCUGUUGUUGUUGAAGUGCUUGAUUUACAGACAGGGAAACUGAGGCUAAAGAAGGUUGACGAACCUCAUGUCUAAGACUGCAGACUGGGUGAGUCAGGAUUUGAACCCACACCCACGUUUUCACUUUGUCUGUGCGGGAAGGGUAUCUGGGCUGUGAGGGGGAGGAGGGUGUCCUUCUCAUACCAGCAAAUAGCUCCGGUGGCCCUGGGUGGACUCCUUGGCCAUCAGGGUCUCCACCAGCACCUCGUACAGCUCAUCCAAAGGCUCUGUGUGGACAGCCUCGUGCUGGGGGCAGACAGAGUGAGAGCUUGUUUGCUUUCGUUCUAAUCUGUAAAAAUGGCCAGAUGAUUUUCACCAAGUUUGGAGGGGAGAUAUGGGAUAGAAUGGUGUAAUACCGGCCAGCUGCCAUAUAAAAUAUUCACUUCGUUGGGCGUGGUGGUGUGUGCCGAAUAGUCCCAGCUACUCUAGAGGCUGACAUGGGAGGACUGCUUGAGCCCAGGAGUUCAAGGACAGCCUGGGCAAGAGACCUUGUCUCUAAAAAAAAAAUUCACUUGGUAGGGAAACCUGGAUGGGAGGGCCUUCAAAGAGAGGUGUUGAAAGUGUAGGGUUGGGUGUAGUCUAGGGCAGGAGACAAGGAUUCUGUGAGAGCUGCCACAUGACCAUGACAGAGAGGAGGAAAACAAAAGGUGCUUUUAAGUGAGCCCAGGCAGAACUGUGAGGGCGGCCCAUGCUGCAGGCUGUGGCUGUCAGCAGGCUGCUUCUCCACGGCUGGCCCCAUCCUAAGAUUCACAGGGCAGCAGCAGGGUACACUGGGUGACUGCUGCCCUCUCCUGGUGGCACAGGGCAGACCUACUGGUGACCACAGAUGCACCCUUUUGGGGAGGACUAGGGAGAAAGAAGGUAUUGGAGAAGCAGGGGAUUGUUUAUUUGCUAAAAGUGUGGCCCUUUCACACAGAAGAUCUGCUACUGCCUACUGAGGAAUGGCCUCUCGACAUCCUUAUGUCAAACCCUGCAUGUUCGGGCUCAUCUUUAAAAUC